This 166-nucleotide ribosomal RNA is filed under the name uncultured bacterium. Its description in RNAcentral is "partial 16S ribosomal RNA". It matches the Rfam family "Bacterial small subunit ribosomal RNA", at positions 349 to 507 of the family's 1533-position model. The record is from RNAcentral.
CAGCAGUGGGGAAUUUUGGACAAUGGGCGAAAGCCUGAUCCAGCCAUCCCGCGUGAGUGAAGAAGGCCUUCGGGUUGUAAAGCUCUUUCGGCAGGGAAGAAACGGACACGGAUAAUACCUGUGUCUAAUGACGGUACCUAAUGAGGAAGCCACGGCUAACUACGUG